RNAcentral lists this long non-coding RNA (1029 nucleotides) under Homo sapiens (human). RNAcentral describes it as "non-protein coding lnc-FOXD4L5-25:4". The record is from RNAcentral. Lineage: Eukaryota; Metazoa; Chordata; Mammalia; Primates; Hominidae.
AGUGAGGUCGGCGCCCGCCAGUAACAAACAUGGCUCCCUGAAGCCGCUCAGGCUCAAGAGCAACAUGGAGGUCUGCACUUAAUCGCUCCUCUCCGGGGGCGGCCAUACCGAGGAGGCGUCUCUUCCGUGCAGGCAGGCUCUCCUGGGGACCUCAGAGAUUCUCUCCAGCGGCAGCGGAAAACGGACAAUGGGUGGAUUCGGGUCCAGAUUCUGGUAGGAGGGAGUUUGGGAUCGAGAUCUGGAAAAAAGCACUAGACUGGAAGAGGACGCGAUGGAGUCGGAGCCGCUGGCGGGGACAAAAACCAGAGGCCGGGGAAGGCGCCGGUGGGAGGCAAGGCACGGAUGGACUUUACCUGCGCACGCGUCGCAGCCAUCUCCGCGCACAGUGGUGGCCACCGCGACUGGUGCUGAAGUGUUGGCGCGUGCCGGGCGCUCCGCUGGGACCCGGGUUGCUGGCCCUGAGUCUCAGCUUUCUCAUCUGUACGGUUGGGACAAGUACAGUAACCCUCGCCCGUCAAGACGGGCCAGGGCUGUGGCGAGGGUCCACGCCUUAGAGCAGGUACCUAUCUUGUGCAGGGCCCUGAGAUGGGGUCUGACUCAGUUCCUGCGGGGAACUUCACCAGUGACCCAGUCAGUGCCCUUCAGUUAAAGACCACCAGGAGCACACUUGCAGGAGUAGGGCUGAUUGGAGCCAUUGUACAGUGUCGGGAACAUACCAGGACACUGAGAAUAGUGUCAUGUCAUAAGGACCCAGAGCAGAUGGACCCUGCUGUGAUGCACAAAGAGGACCACGCAAGAUAUGAUAAAGAUCUACAUCACUGAAUUUUGGUUCCAUUUUUGUAUCUCAGCUUCCAGGAAAUAAAAAAGAAUUCUAACAUUCAUACUUUCAGUAUUUUAUGUGAGAGGUUUUGUUGUCAAAAUCAAGUCUGAGAGCAAUGUUUGUUGGGGCCUUUAAUUGGAGUCACCAAGCGAUAAAGGGGACAUUGUCCUCAACAAUAACCCUAUAAUAAACACGUUUUGGACAAUAAA